UUGAUGUACUUUUACACCGUGAGAGGGUCAGCUGUUGAACAUGUGAGGAAGGAAGAUGUGCUUUUUGAUGCGACUAAAAUAGUUUCAUACUAAAAGUCCCUUUUCACAACUUCCGUAUUUGUUACCGGAAAUACGCAAUCGUGUUGGAAAUAUUCUUUCUGUCCGGUCAGUGCAACGUUAAACAAAUGGCGCAAGAAAAUAGAAACAAGUUUAUUGUAGCGUACCGGGCUGUUCUUGUUAUUCCCAAAAAGCAGCCAAAUCUGUCGUUUCAUUCCUUUCCUGUUGAUGGUGGUGUUUGACGAAAAUGGAUCCGGCGGGACGAAGGACCAAACUUUAGCAAAGGGGAGCACUCAUAUGAUGCAGCUGUUGACAUCUGCAAUGCUUAAGGGGAAGCCAAACGUUCUCUUCCUGGUUUCAUCGUCACACCUCCAUUCUGCAGAAUGAGGCCGUGCGUCGUGCCUCUUUUUGCUGUUACUCUGCUGACGUUAUGUGAAGCACAAGGAACCAUUGAGACUCCUGUGUUUGUGCUGAAGGGACGUGAUCUGCUCCUGGAGCUUCAUGCUGAUCUUCCUGAGAAGUUUUCAUUUGUUGACUGGAAAAUCAAUAAAACAGUCACUUUAGUAAGAAUCGAAUCUAGUGGGGAACCAAAUGUCUUUAAAGAUUUCACUGGAAGGCUUGAGUUUCCAGAUAAACACUUCUCUGUAAUAUUGAAGAAUCUACAAGACGCCGAUAGUGGAGUUUAUUCUGCUGUAGCAGUAACACCUAC
Long non-coding RNA from Pungitius pungitius (ninespine stickleback), 766 nucleotides. RefSeq lists it as uncharacterized. NCBI's taxonomy places the organism in Eukaryota, Metazoa, Chordata, Actinopteri, Perciformes, Gasterosteidae. The transcript is spliced from 3 exons. The record is from RefSeq and is a predicted model, not a curated record.